RNAcentral lists this ribosomal RNA (435 nucleotides) under uncultured bacterium. RNAcentral's name for it is "partial 16S ribosomal RNA". It matches the Rfam family "Bacterial small subunit ribosomal RNA", at positions 29 to 507 of the family's 1533-position model. The record is from RNAcentral.
AGCGAACGCUGGCGGCAGGCUUAACACAUGCAAGUCGAGCGGGCACUUUCGGGUGUCAGCGGCGGACGGGUGAGUAACGCGUGGGAACGUGCCCUCUGGUUCGGAAUAACUCAGGGAAACUUGAGCUAAUACCGGAUACGCCCUUUUGGGGAAAGGCUUGCUGCCGGAGGAUCGGCCCGCGUCUGAUUAGCUAGUUGGUGGGGUAACGGCUCACCAAGGCGACGAGCAGUAGCUGGUCUGAGAGGAUGAUCAGCCACACUGGGACUGAGACACGGCCCAGACUCCUACGGGAGGCAGCAGUGGGGAAUAUUGGACAAUGGGCGCAAGCCUGAUCCAGCCAUGCCGCGUGAGUGAUGAAGGCCUUAGGGUUGUAAAGCUCUUUUAUCCGGGACGAUAAUGACGGUACCGGAGGAAUAAGCCCCGGCUAACUUCGUG